Eurytemora carolleeae is the source of this 474-nucleotide long non-coding RNA. RefSeq lists it as uncharacterized. The transcript has 2 exons. Lineage: Eukaryota; Metazoa; Arthropoda; Copepoda; Calanoida; Temoridae. The record is from RefSeq and is a predicted model, not a curated record.
GGGAUAUGAGGGAAAGGUCGCCCCUGUGCUAAUAUUCCUACAAGAUAUCUGCAGCGCCCCUGGACUUCGUACUGCAUGAAGAGGGGAGUUUCCAAGAAUAAAAAUAAAGCUGCUCAAAACUAGGUUUUAUAUGUAUUGUUUAUACUCUAACGUACAUUCUAAUCAAUUGAGAUGUGACUUUUGAUGGCGAUGUUCGCCAAUGUUUUUGUCUCUUUGUUCUUGUGAUAUUGUGUGAAGGCUCAAUAUGUUGAACAUGCUGAUCUGAAUAAAUCCUGAGUUCUUUAUUUGAUGGUCAAAAUGAGUACAAAGGAUAGAGAGAAAUGUUCUGACAAACCAUCGCAGAAUAUCACUAGGCACAUGUAUUCGCUGGUCGCGAAACAGUCUCAAACUCUGAUUUUCAAACCCCUAUAUCUCUGCAAGCCAAUGUCAUUAGAUUCUAAAAUUUAACAGUUGGAAAUAUCAAAUUUUACACAA